UGGGGAAUAUUGCACAAUGGGCGGAAGCCUGAUGCAGCGACGCCGCGUGGGGGAUGAAGGCCUUCGGGUUGUAAACUCCUUUCGACAGGGACGAAGCUUUUGUGACGGUACCUGUAUAAGAAGCACCGGCUAACUACGUGCCAGCAGCCGCGGUAAUACGUAGGGUGCGAGCGUUGUCCGGAAUUACUGGGCGUAAAGAGCUCGUAGGUGGUUUGUCGCGUCGUCUGUGAAAUUCCGGGGCUUAACUCCUGGCGUGCAGGCGAUACGGGCUGACUUGAGUGCUGUAGGGGAGACUGGAAUUCCUGGUGUAGCGGUGAAAUGCGCAGAUAUCAGGAGGAACACCGAUGGCGAAGGCAGGUCUCUGGGCAGUAACUGACGCUGAGGAGCGAAAGCAUGGGUAGCGAACAGG
Molecule: ribosomal RNA, 409 nt
Filed under: Actinomycetes bacterium
Lineage: Bacteria; Bacillati; Actinomycetota; Actinomycetes
Description: Actinobacteria bacterium partial 16S ribosomal RNA
Rfam family: Bacterial small subunit ribosomal RNA
Source: RNAcentral